AAUUUUUGCUCGACUUACGAGAAUUCAAGCAUGAAAAGCUUGUGUUAUAUUUUAACUACAAAAAU
RNAcentral lists this transfer RNA (65 nucleotides) under Branchiostoma lanceolatum (amphioxus). Its description in RNAcentral is "tRNA-Glu". Lineage: Eukaryota; Metazoa; Chordata; Leptocardii; Amphioxiformes; Branchiostomatidae. The record is from RNAcentral.